This 753-nucleotide long non-coding RNA is filed under the name Elaeis guineensis (African oil palm). Its description in RNAcentral is "long non-coding RNA (EGUI_LNC035720)". The record is from RNAcentral. Lineage: Eukaryota; Viridiplantae; Streptophyta; Magnoliopsida; Arecales; Arecaceae.
AAGACCCUCUUCAUCUUCUCGUAGCCUUCCUAUCCCUAACUUUCUUCUCUCAUUGUCUUCCUUAAUUCUCUUCCUAGACUCUUGUCCUAAAAUCAGAUUUGUCCUUAUAAUUUUGGACUUAUCCUAAUAAGAGAAGAAAGAGACUAAUUGGAUAAUAGAGAGAGGAUGUUAGAAAGAAAGGAGGAAUUGAAAAUCUGAAUGAAUCCAAUCCCCCAGCGCACCUCCUUUUAAAUACUUAGCGACGGGUUGCCUUCAAAAAUUAUUCACGCCCCUUCCACGGACCAUCUCGCAUCUAUCAAAAAAUUUCAUACCUCCUGAUGAAUUAUCAUGCCCAUCUAAAAGAUUUUGAUACAUGACAAUCAUCGAAAAAAAAUCCAAGAGAUGCUUCGCGCAGAAGGAUUCUUCGAAAUAUUUUCCUCGAUGAUUCUCCGAUGCGUCGUACAGCUUCCUAUGGCAUAAUUUUUUGCCACCACCCAUCAGUGCAAUUUUAUCCAUCUGAUAGCCAAAAAUGAAGGUGCUAAUAUUAGAAUGGCAUGAAAAAAAUCUCAGAUUAAGAAGUGGCAUGACAAAUGGGUUAGAGUCCUUCAUAAGUUGGACUGUUGGACAGAUGCAUGGAUCAAACUGAUAGAAUUUUCAACUUCGAUGAAUUUUCACGUUUAAAUUAGAAAGAAUUUUAACUUUAAAAAAAUUAUUUAUGUAUAAAAUUAAGUUAAAAAUUUCUCAAAAAUUUAUUUUAUUAUGAAACAUUGGAUA